This 441-nucleotide ribosomal RNA is filed under the name uncultured Anaerolineaceae bacterium. Its description in RNAcentral is "bacterial SSU rRNA". It matches the Rfam family "Bacterial small subunit ribosomal RNA", at positions 923 to 1382 of the family's 1533-position model. The record is from RNAcentral. Lineage: Bacteria; Bacillati; Chloroflexota; Anaerolineae; Anaerolineales; Anaerolineaceae.
GCACAAGCAGCGGAGCGUGUGGUUAAUUCGAUGCUACACGAAGAACCUUACCAGGGUUUGACAUGCAAGUGGUAGGAAACUGAAAAGGACGACCCUUCGGGAGCUUGCACAGGUGCUGCAUGGCUGUCGUCAGCUCGUGUCGUGAGAUGUUCGGUUAAGUCCGCUAACGAGCGCAACCCUCACUGUGUGUUAUAUGUGUCACACGGGACUGCCGGUUUUAAGCCGGAGGAAGUGGGGAUGACGUCAAGUCAGCAUGGCCUUUAUAUCCUGGGCUACACACACGCUACAAUGGUCGGUACAAUAGGUUGCCAAGCCGCGAGGCGGAGCCAAUCCAAAAAGCCGGCCUCAGUUCAGAUUGUAGGCUGCAACUCGCCUGCAUGAAGAUGGAGUUGCUAGUAACCGCAGGUCAGCAAUACUGCGGUGAAUACGUUCCCGGGUCUU